AAAUAAUUAGUGAUAUCUGUUAAUCAUCCCUUUCAUCUGGAUUAUAUGAAGUAAAAAUAAGCACUGGCUAUAAUUAUUUGCAAAUGAAAUCCACACGCUUUAUCCUUGGUUACCCCCAUGGCUUUGCAUAAGUACCAAGCCCAUCAGUACAUCCUUUUGACUACAUAUACAGAAUUGCAAGAUUAAUUUUGAAAAAAUAAGAAUAAUAUGUGAAGACAUUAUUUUUCUUUGAGGUAGGAUUCCAGGGAAUGAGUAUGAAGGCUAACUAGACCUGAGAAAAAUUAUACUUAUAGAUUUUCCAUUACUUAAAAAAAAAGAAGACAAUGUCUCCAUAAAAACUCAACACUUAUUCCUAGAGCUGUUCUAUAAAGUGUGAGAGAUGAUUUCCAACACAGCAAUCUUGUUUUUCACGCAGUUUUCUAGAUGUAAGGUUUUCCUUUUUUGCCUUUCACACAUUAUUUUUUCUCUGUAAAUUUAUCAUUCUUCCCUUUAAAUUGCAAAUAAACAGGAUGAAAAGCGUAACAUAUCCAAGAUAGCCAAUGGAUCAUACUAUCCCGAAUAUUUCUUACUGGCUUCUAGUAUCAUGAAAAUCUUUUUCUCAUUUAUAAGUGGUCUAGAGAUGAAUGUUUUUGGAGCUGAUGUUCAGCAAUUUAUUUUUGAGACUUUCAGGCAUGUUUUCCACUUGACUUGGCUGACUCAAUACCUAGGACAAAACUUGGAUUUCUGUUUGGAAUAUGACAGAUACUCCAAUUUUUGUUUCAAUCUGUUCUCUUUUAGAGCAAAGUUUAAUGAGUUCAUUUCGAAUUAAUCUAAAAUACAGAUUUGAAAUUCAGUGUAAAAUGUAAAAGCAACUCUCCUGAAGGAUUUUGUAGUUUUUGGAAAAUGUUUCCUUUUGCAUGUGAAGUGAAUACACUUCUUUAUUUUCACACUUGAAGAUCUUCCGUAAGAAAGUGAAACUAGGCGUAAUUUUUAUCAGUCUAUGUAUUUCCUUGUCUAUUGCUAAGACUUAAAUAGUUUGCAUUAGCAUGGUUGGAUACAGACACUUUCUUCUCUCUUUCUUUCACUUCUUCUUUCUUUCUUCUCUCGGGAUCCUGCCUUCUUGAUAGGAUAUUGAAGUCCUAUCUAGUUUUUUUUCCUGCUGCACUUACGUGGUUUUCAUAAAGGGCUUUGUCUGUUUUGAUUACUACUUAAUAUUUUCUUUUUCCCCUCCUCAAGUUGUGACUUCUUGCUUGUUCUCUCAGAAAUCACUGUAUACUUCUGAAUCAAAGCUGAGAGUUUCCUGGGAAUUGAUUUCACUCUCUCUUCUUCUGAAGAGGCUUUUUAGAAGUGAUUACUUUUUCUAGGACAGGCUGCUCCAGUUAAACUCUCUUUUCAGAACUUCCUUUGUUACAGCAUUUCAGGUGUUCCAGGAUGGUGCAAUGUCCGAACAUCCUCUGACUGAAGUGGAAGAGAAGACAAGGUCAUUCUUCUUCUCUCAGUGUACUGUAUAGGACUCCUUGCUGCCCGUGAUUAACAGGUCAAAUGUUGUCUACUGUGCUUAUUGAACAGGAUCACAGGGAAGGGAAGAUGCCUGUGGGUACAAAUCUUCAAACUGAGUCCUAUGUAUGCUGCAGAUCUCACAGUUUACACAGCCAGAAUAGAAUAAAGAAAACAGAGCUGUAAUCACCAUUCA
Molecule: long non-coding RNA, 1672 nt
Organism: Centrocercus urophasianus (Greater sage-grouse)
Lineage: Eukaryota; Metazoa; Chordata; Aves; Galliformes; Phasianidae
Exons: 2
Source: RefSeq, a predicted model, not a curated record